RNAcentral lists this long non-coding RNA (1112 nucleotides) under Manihot esculenta (cassava). RNAcentral describes it as "long non-coding RNA (MESC_LNC002573)". Lineage: Eukaryota; Viridiplantae; Streptophyta; Magnoliopsida; Malpighiales; Euphorbiaceae. The record is from RNAcentral.
GCUUGGCUAACUCUGGGCUCCCUCUAACUCUGAAACGGCUACGACUGCUAAACACCUCGGUUCCUCGAGUCCAAUCCUACAAUGGAGGACGCAAAUGAGGCACCAAACAUACGCUAUCAUAACUCUACUCAACUCUUAAACAACUCCCCAAAACCCCUCUAAAAGCACAUGAAACAAACACAUAAAGCAUGCAAAGGAAGCCUGGACAGGACACUUUCGGCGGCAGGUUCGGCGGCCGAAUGUCCUCUCCAGAGACGAAACUCAUGCAUGUUCGGCGGCUCCUUCGGCGGCCGAAAGUCUUGUCCAGAGACGAACCUCACACACUUUCGGCGGCCGAACUCCCUCUUUCGGCGGCCGAAAGUCCUUUUCUAAACCGAAAGCCUAGCUUUCGGGGGCAGGUUUAGGCAGCCAAAACCACCUCCUUAGCACUUUCGGCGGCCGAACCCUUCUUCGGCGGCCGAAGCUGGGUUCUCCAGUUAGGCAGAACCUCGCUCACCUCAUGCACAACUUCCCCCAAACUUGCUCAAACAUGCAUCCAACACUCCAUACCAAACAUAUACUCACAUAUAUGCAUAAAGGGGUCCAAAACUACCUAAAACCCCAACAAAACACACUCAAAACACCAAAUAGCACAUAAUCACCUCAAAACCCUCAAAAACUCAAAACAUGCAACUAACCAUAAAAACUCCUUAAAACCGUCAAAAAUCAUGAAAACAUGUUAGAAAUCUCCAUAAUCCUCUUGUAAACAAAAGGAUAGAAGUUUCUAACGUGAAGAAAUGGAGGAAAUCCUCUCCAAAUCAUCACACCUUCAAAACUCAACCUUUUUAGUUAAAACCCUCAAAACAUGCUUAAAUCUUUGUAAAACUCUCAAAGAUUGGAAAGAACACAUGGAAAAUCACUUAGAGGAGGAAAGGAACGCACCUGAGGCGACUGGGGAUCAGGAAACCUCUCCCUUGACCGACUGAGGGCCCCCUUAAAUAAUGGCUGGCCAAACCUCCUUCGGCAGCCGAACGUGCCUCCUAAUCCAUGCAAAGUUCGGCGGCCGAAACUCAACCUUCGGCGGCCGAACCUGGCAAGUCUCCUCUAUGCACUUUCUUGCCAAACUCAAUUCC